This 498-nucleotide ribosomal RNA is filed under the name uncultured bacterium. RNAcentral's name for it is "partial 16S ribosomal RNA". It matches the Rfam family "Bacterial small subunit ribosomal RNA", at positions 28 to 507 of the family's 1533-position model. The record is from RNAcentral.
GACGAACGCUGGCGGCGUGCCUAAUACAUGCAAGUCGAGCGGACGGAUGGGAGCUUGCUCCCAGACCGUCAGCGGCGGACGGGUGAGUAACACGUGGGCAACCUGCCUGUAAGACUGGGAUAACUCCGGGAAACCGGGGCUAAUACCGGAUAACUCUUUCCCUCACAUGAGGGAAAGCUGAAAGAUGGCAUCUCGCUAUCACUUACAGAUGGGCCCGCGGCGCAUUAGCUAGUUGGUGAGGUAACGGCUCACCAAGGCGACGAUGCGUAGCCGACCUGAGAGGGUGAUCGGCCACACUGGGACUGAGACACGGCCCAGACUCCUACGGGAGGCGGCAGUAGGGAAUCUUCCGCAAUGGACGAAAGUCUGACGGAGCAACGCCGCGUGAGUGAUGAAGGUUUUCGGAUCGUAAAACUCUGUUGUCAGGGAAGAACAAGUACCGGAGUAACUGCCGGUACCUUGACGGUACCUGACCAGAAAGCCACGGCUAACUACGUG